CGCCCUUCGGCGCGGGGGGGUCGGGGCCGGAGGGCCUCGAGCAAAAGCACGCGCACAGGUAGCGCGGGAGCGUGCUUUGCGGGAGCCGAAGGGACGCCCCGGGGCAUCUGCGAGCGUGGGGCUGUCCGGUGACUCUCUUUUGAACCUCGUUCUGCGCGCCCUGCGCUCGCUUUCCCCCUCCAACCUGUCCCGGCUGUCCGGGGAUGGGCUGCCAGAGCGUUUCUCCGUGCCGCGUAGCGCCGCGACCGUCCCGCUGCCGGCCGCGCUCCGGGCUCUGCUGCUGCUGCUGGCUGCGCUCGGUGCGCGCUCCCUGGGUGUCACCUCCGAGCGAUCCCGGACCGAGAGAAAGCUCCUACGAGAGCAAAGUUGGGCGCUUCCCUCAGAGCGUCGCGAACCUCAGCGCAAGCCGAGGUGCUCCCCGAGCAGGGUAUUCCCUCCUGCCGAGCGGCCAGCGCUAUGGAAAGAACCGAGGGGAAGCGGGAGGAAUCUCCGCGCGCUUCCCCGAAGCCACACGGGCGCAUCCCGGUGGCAGCGCGGGGCUGAGCUCCUCAGCCCGGUGUGUUUGGAAGCGUAACGCGAUACAUCGCCUCCCUUGAUCUCAUUCUGCCUUCCUCCUUAGCCGUACCUCACUGUACUUAAGAGGACGGUUUUGCUACCAGCCCUCUCCCCCCAUCCCCACGUUUUCAUCUCUUCCUCCUGCUUGCUCUCCUCUCGACAGCUCCAUACCUUUCCAUUAUUUCCUCACACGCAUCACACCACUCGAUCUCUGGCCAUUCCUGGCACCGCUCUCUGCCUUUGGCCACCACCCAGGUGUCCACACAGAGUUGGCAUCCAUCCCAUCCCGUACUACUGCCAUGUCCCGGCCCCGGGUGGCCUCUGUCAUCCCACUGCCACCUCGGCCUGCCCUGACUUUCCACCAGCCAUUGCUCAUCUCUGGAGAUGGAGUCACCUCCAACCUGUCUGGUACCAGGACCUGCAUACCUGGCAUCGUGGUCACGCAUGCUCACACUAGAUUCCAUCACAUACGAAGUAUAAGCAGUACCUGUUGGACUUGGCUAGGGUUUUUGCUGUGGACUUCCCCAUCACCAGUUUGUGCUUCUCUCUUGCCAUGGGCAUGGCCAAAGACUCCACUGCUCACCUGUGCUGCAUACUGUUUAACGCUCUUUGCCCUGGCACAUCCUUUAGCCGCAUAACGACCCUGAUAUGCUUUGUUGUCGCCAGUAUUUCCACCCCAGCGGAUCACCUUUCAGCUUGGCAUUAUGGGGAGCCCUCCAAGAGAGGUGUGCGAAGGGACAGGCACUGCACAGCUGCACUGGUGCAUCUGUCAGCCAACCAGCCGGUCAACCAUUCAGGCACCUCAAUGCUGCACUCGGGAGUUCCUGUCCUCCAAAAUAUACCUCUUCUUUCCCAAAAUUCUGAUACCUCGGCCUGACAAGCACUUCAUAUAUGAAACCUUAACGCCACAGCCUGCUGUUAGGAAUGUGCACGCUGCACCCAGUGCUGGAGCGAAACCAGAAGGGUAGAGCUCAGGUGUUUUGGAACCAUCCCACAGGCAGCCCCUGGCGGCCUUCCAGCAUGCUCUUCCUUUAAGCGUGCUCACUGUGCCUCUGGAGAAGACUGCUGAUCCAUCAGUUAAUCGUAUUGACUUCCAGCUGUGGGAGUGACCAGCGCCCUCCAUGCUGGACUGUAGUUCAGAUGAGCUUGGUGGAGCCGAAGGUACAUGGGCAGCUCCCAAAACAGCUGAAACAAACGGCCAAGUUACCUUUGCUCCACUGGUCAAGGGAAUACGUUCUGCCUUCGGUUCAUCAGCUCUGCUCCAUAAAGGUCUGGCUGGAAUUUCAGCUACUCCUAGAUGUUUGGAUAACAGGAGUGGACAACAGCAUUUUUUUCCAAACUGUGCUAAGAUCUCAUUUCUGCAAUGCACUAAAUGUAAUGGGAUGAAAGGCUUUGCAAGAGCAAAAAUAAAGGCUCAUAGACUGUUUGGGGAAGGCUGUUUUAGUAUUAAUUAUUAACUUGUAUUAUUCUUGCAGGAGAGCCUAGACACUCUAGCAACAGAUGAGAUCUCCACUGUCCUCAGCAACAUAAAAAGAGAAAAUGGUCAGCUCUUGCCCCAGAGAAGAUUACAUUUGGUGGAGCGAUAGGAAAUAUUUUCUUGGAAAAUGCUGAAUUGUUUCACGGCAGUCUAUCAAGUCCUGGUUUCAGAUAUUCUAUCCACCACCUAUUUCAUGACUGUUAUUUAGGCCUUGAUCCUCAGCUGGCAUAAAUCAAGCAUUGGGCUAUGUAAGUCAGAAGAGCCCUGCUGAUUUAUGUUUGCUGUGUCACCUCAGUGAAGCUGAUGAAGUUAUGCCAGCUGACAUCAGCUCAGGAUCUGGCCCCUAGCUGCUGUCAGUGCCAUUUAGUACCACCCUUCUUUUUCUGCUGCUUCCUUAGCACUGUGAGAUUCUUCUGGCUGACUGCAGGACCCAACAGAGACAGCUCCGCUUCCUGUACCCAGCCUCCUCUCCAGCUCAUUAACUCCAGUAGGAACAGGGGUGUGGGAGGGGAGAAGAUCCGGC
Long non-coding RNA from Gallus gallus (chicken), 2555 nucleotides. The record is from Ensembl. Lineage: Eukaryota; Metazoa; Chordata; Aves; Galliformes; Phasianidae.